UGAAAACUACUACGCAAAACCAAAGU
RNAcentral lists this non-coding RNA (26 nucleotides) under Rattus norvegicus (Norway rat). Lineage: Eukaryota; Metazoa; Chordata; Mammalia; Rodentia; Muridae. The record is from RNAcentral.